Molecule: long non-coding RNA, 1021 nt
Organism: Drosophila obscura
Lineage: Eukaryota; Metazoa; Arthropoda; Insecta; Diptera; Drosophilidae
Exons: 3
Source: RefSeq, a predicted model, not a curated record
AGCAGCAGUGAAUUUCGAUUAGUUGACGCCUGUGUUUGAUACUGGAAAGAUUUCCCCAAACUUCUCGCUGGAAACACUUGACUUCUGACUCGCUCCCAUCAUGAGGCUACUGCUUUGGCUAACAGUUCUGUCGAUCAUGAUUAUAUCCAUACUUAACAUUCCGAGUCGUUGCAGAAAAAUAAAAGAUAAAUUGGUGUGCCAAAAGUAUUUUACAUUGUGUUUAUUUCAUAUGAUUAAGGAGCUAAAACAGAGAAUUGUUUGCAUUUUUUAAUGGAUUGUAAUUGGCACGAAAAAUGCAUUCUUCAUGCUCUAAUCGUAGGUCGAAUUAAAGAAGCUAUGGCUGUCCGAUUCGUCAAGGUUUAUGCACGAUUAGGGAAAGGUUUUUUCAAGAUUUUGAGACUGCUGAAACUGUUUUUUCCAUCAUAAGAAUAAUUCCUUAUCCAAAUAUAAGUUCUUAUAGGUAUAAUAUGAGCAUACUGAAUCAAAUCUGAAGAACGGGAAAACGUAAUAUUUCAUGGCAAUUCAUUUCGCACUCCAUCCCAUAACUUCUGCUUUGGGGGUACGGUACCGGUACUAACCCCCUGCAUUGGAAGACCAUAUAUCCUCGUUGAAUUCCAUUCCACUUUUGCGGUUGUGCCCAUUUGAUGCCACACUCAUGACGCCGCUGAUGAUGAUGAUGAUGCCGCCGCCCAUUGGUCAGCGCGUUGCAAUUUCGCCGACCAAUUCCGUGGCUCUGGAUUGCGGCACCCAGCUCCUCCUGCGCCAAAAACUGGCUCGGAUACCCCCUCCCCACCACUGCAGAGCGUUUCGUUCUCCGGCCAUUUGUCGAAAGCAAUAUUUUCUGCAUGCAAACCAAAAAAUUUGCAUAUAAAUGCGAAAACGCAUUCAAACUAACAACGACCAAAAGGAGGAGCGAAUGCAGGACGCGGACGCGGAUGUGGAUGUAGACUGGGACUGGGACUGGAACUGCAAAUGGAGCUAUAGCUGCAGCUCCAGCAAACUGCUCCAGCUCCAGCUCCGG